RNAcentral lists this unclassified non-coding RNA (1750 nucleotides) under Leishmania donovani. RNAcentral's name for it is "gene:LdHU3.05.1280(CDS-product:hypothetical_prote in_conserved)". Lineage: Eukaryota; Euglenozoa; Kinetoplastea; Trypanosomatida; Trypanosomatidae. The record is from RNAcentral.
AACGAUGGAGCGGCACCAGCCCCAGCACCAGCGCACACCCACCCUUCUCACCUUUUCAGCUUCGCCAUCUCACCGUCACGCACACCGACUUCGUCACAGGCACGAUCAUGAAGUCGUUCUUUUCCAAAAUCACGUCAAUGCUGAAGACGAGGCGGACGCCGCUGGCGCCGUGCGACUGCUCCGACUUCAUAGAGGCCGCGCCAGCACAGCCGUCCCUGACGCAUCUGCGCGGCGUCGUCGCGGCCCGUCACUUCCACGGUGCCCCGCCGCCGGCCUCCGACGUGGAGAAAGCGCGGCGCGACUUCGUCGUUCGCAGCACCGUGUUCGAUCUGCAGUACCGGUGCGGUGCCGGUGGGCGGUGCACAUGCGCUGGCGCGCCGACGUGUCGCUUCCCACAGUGCUUCACCAUGCGGCCAGUGACGAAGGGCGCCGAGGUGCUGGCGGAGCGCCAGGUGUACGAGGUUGAGGACGCCCCGGCGCCGGAGAUACGUGCCUUGGUGGCCCUGGCUGCCGAAGAGAAGCUCGAAGAGGUGGUGAAGGGUAUCCAGCACACGGUCGACGCGCAUCUGAAGGCGGGCGCUCGUGGGCGCGGCCUCGAGGCACGCUUCAUCAUCGAUGGCUCCGACGGUCAUGAGUUUACGCCGGCCACGCCGAAGACCGGCACCGACAGCAUCCACGCCGGCGCCAACCCGCUCCGCGAGGACGAAGAUCUGCGGGAGGAGAUCACCUCCCUGUACCUCUGGCGCGCUGCCCUGCUGGUCAACCUGCGCCGCGACGAGCAGGCCGUGUCCUCGCUGCUCAACCUCGCGUUUGCGGUGGAGCAGAAAGACCGCACGCGGCUCUACGGCGCCGCCGCUGCGUGGGCGGUGCUGAACGACAUGGAGAUCAUCUACUACCGAAGCCUCGUCAAGAGUUGCAAGCCCUUCGAUCAGGCUGUGCACUUCGCGACGGAGCGGCCGCUGCUGCUGGCACGCGUGUUCGAGGCAACCAGGGGCGACGACUACCACACGGACUACUGCACCCACGUCGUCUUCUCCAAGGAGGUGACGGCGACGGUGACUCGGGCGCAGACGGCGCAGAUGCACGGCGACUUCACCGAGGACCCCAUGCGCAGCCUGUGCCUGCCGCUCACCAUGCCGUACUACCGCUUUCGCGUAGACGAAGAGUUCUGGAAGCGCUUCUACGCGCUGCUCUGCAUGCCGCCGGUGCCGCCGCCGACGCCGGAGGAGGCAAAGGCGCAGGCGAUCGACCCAGCUGCGGAGCUUGGCCUGACGCCCAACUACAUCCUCGACGCCGUGGGCCGCAGCAUGAUGCUGCACCACCUCGUCACGUUCGCCGACGUGCGCGACAAGGAGAUCGACACCGGCGUCGUUGUGGAUCGCGUGAAGGAGAUGAAGCUUCUCGACCUGCAGCCGCACCCGUCCGACUACGCCCCGGUGCUGACCACUAGCGAGAUGCACGUCGCGGUGACCCGGAUGAAGGAACUGCUCGUCGUUGUCCGCUCCUUCGAAGCCAAAGAGCAGGAGCGGCUGUCCGGCGCAGCGGCGGCGCAACGCCUGCAGCGUGCGCAGAGCAGCAACGACGCACCCAACCCCAGCGCAGCCCCACCAGCGCCGUCGCCCAUAGAAAAGUAAGGGGGGAGGCGGCGGGGACAGCGGCGAUGCCUCUCUUGCUCGCUACCUAGCUUCGGGUGGCGGCUGUGUGUGUGCAGGUGUGCACCGACAAAUACACGCGUAUAGCGCCCAGUGAC